GUCGAGAAUCUUCCGCAAUGCGCGAAAGCGUGACGGAGCGACACCGCGUGAUGGAUGAAGUCCUUCGGGGCGUAAACAUCUUUUAUAAAGGAGGAAAUUUUUGACGUUACUUUAUGAAUAAGGGGCUCCCAAUCUCGUGCCAGCAGGAGCGGCAAUACGAGAGCCUCAAGCGUUAUCCGGAAUCAUUGGGCGUAAAGGGUGCGUAGGUGGUUUGAUUAGUCUCCCGUUAAAACUUCGAGCUUAACUCGAAAAGAGCGGGGGAAACGGUCAAACUAGAGUAUGUGAGAGGUGUGUGGAACUCAUGGUGUAGGAGUGAAAUCCGUUGAUAUCAUGGGGAACACCAAAAGCGAAGGCAGCACACUGGCACAUCACUGACACUGAGGCACGAAACCUAAGGUAGCGAAUGGGAUUAGAAACCCGAGUAGUCC
Molecule: ribosomal RNA, 428 nt
Filed under: uncultured bacterium
Lineage: Bacteria
Description: partial 16S ribosomal RNA
Rfam family: Bacterial small subunit ribosomal RNA
Source: RNAcentral